RNAcentral lists this ribosomal RNA (476 nucleotides) under uncultured bacterium. Its description in RNAcentral is "bacterial SSU rRNA". It matches the Rfam family "Bacterial small subunit ribosomal RNA", at positions 915 to 1391 of the family's 1533-position model. The record is from RNAcentral.
GGGGGCCCGCAAGCGGUGGAGCAUGUGGUUUAAUUCGAUGCAACGCGAAAAACCUUACCUGGUCUUGACAUCCAUAGAAUUUGAUAGAAAUAUCAAAGUGCCUUCGGGAACUAUGAGACAGGUGCUGCAUGGCUGUCGUCAGCUCGUGUUGUGAAAUGUUGGGUUAAGUCCCGCAACGAGCGCAACCCUUAUCCUUUGUUGCCAUCAGGUAAAGCUGGGAACUCAAAGGAGACUGCCGGUUAUAAACCGGAGGAAGGUGGGGACGACGUCAAGUCAUCAUGGCCCUUACGACCAGGGCUACACACGUGCUACAAUGGUAUAUACAAAGAGAUGCAACUCUGCAAGGAUAAGCAAACCUCAUAAAGUGUAUCGUAGUCCGGACUGGAGUCUGCAACUCGACUCCACGAAGUCGGAAUCGCUAGUAAUCGUGGAUCAGAAUGCCACGGUGAAUACGUUCCCGGGGCCUUGUACACACC